This 459-nucleotide ribosomal RNA is filed under the name Bacillus licheniformis. Its description in RNAcentral is "bacterial SSU rRNA". It matches the Rfam family "Bacterial small subunit ribosomal RNA", at positions 46 to 485 of the family's 1533-position model. The record is from RNAcentral. Lineage: Bacteria; Bacillati; Bacillota; Bacilli; Caryophanales; Bacillaceae.
GCCUAAUACAUGCAAGUCGAGCGGACAGAUGGGAGCUUGCUCCCUGAUGUUAGCGGCGGACGGGUGAGUAACACGUGGGUAACCUAGCCUGUAAGACUGGGAUAACUCCGGGAAACCGGGGCUAAUACCGGAUGCUUGAUUGAACCGCAUGGUUCAUUUAUAAAAGGUGGCUUUUAGCUACCACUUACAGAUGGACCCGCGGCGCAUUAGCUAGUUGGUGAGGUAACGGCUCACCAAGGCAACGAUGCGUAGCCGACCUGAGAGGGUGAUCGGCCACACUGGGACUGAGACACGGCCCAGACUCCUACGGGAGGCAGCAGUAGGGAAUCUUCCGCAAUGGACGAAAGUCUGACGGAGCAACGCCGCGUGAGUGAUGAAGGUUUUCGGAUCGUAAAACUCUGUUGUUAGGGAAGAACAGGUACCGUUCGAAUAGGGCGGUACCUUGACGGUACCUAACCA